RNAcentral lists this ribosomal RNA (699 nucleotides) under uncultured bacterium. Its description in RNAcentral is "bacterial SSU rRNA". It matches the Rfam family "Bacterial small subunit ribosomal RNA", at positions 799 to 1504 of the family's 1533-position model. The record is from RNAcentral.
GCCGUAAACGAUGAGAACUAGAUGUCGGGGGAAUCUGUCCUUCGGUGUCGCAGCUAACGCGUUAAGUUCUCCGCCUGGGGAGUACGCCGGCAACGGUAAAACUCAAAGGAAUUGACGGGGACCCGCACAAGCGGUGGAGCAUGUGGUUUAAUUCGAUGCAACGCGAAGAACCUUACCUGCCCUUGACAUUGACAGAAUCCUGUAGAGAUACGGGAGUGCUUCGGCCUGGAAAACAGGUGCUGCAUGGCUGUCGUCAGCUCGUGUCGUGAGAUGUUGGGUUAAGUCCCGCAACGAGCGCAACCCUCGCCUUUAGUUGCCAGCAUUAAGUUGGGCACUCUAGAGGGACUGCCGGUGAUAAGCCGGAGGAAGGUGGGGAUGACGUCAAAUCAUCAUGGCCCUUACGGGCUGGGCUACACACGUGCUACAAUGGCGGUGACAGUGAGCAGCCACUCAGCAAUGGGGAGCUAAUCUCUAAAAGCCGUCUCAGUUCGGAUUGUUCUCUGCAACUCGAGAGCAUGAAGUUGGAAUCGCUAGUAAUCGUGGAUCAGCAUGCCACGGUGAAUACGUUCCCGGGCCUUGUACACACCGCCCGUCACACCAUGGGAGUUGGUUUUACCCGAAGACUGUGUGCUAACUUUUAGAGGCAGCAGGCCACGGUAGGGUCAGCGACUGGGGUGAAGUCGUAACAAGGUAACCGUA